GAAUAGAGGGAGGCCGAGGAAGACUCAUGUGUGAGGAACUUUCGAGGCAGUUCUGGAGGAUAUCGGUGAACUGAGAAGGAAGAAUAAGACCCAUGCUGAAACAUUGUAACGUUUGGGGGUUGAAUUUGUAGGUAUUGUUGUAGUUGUUAAUUGUUUUCAUGCACUGACUAGCACAUAGGUGAUCAUUGUAACACUAUGAUAUAUAUUAAGCCAAUGUCAAGUCAGCAAGUUCUUUCACC
Molecule: long non-coding RNA, 239 nt
Organism: Hibiscus syriacus
Lineage: Eukaryota; Viridiplantae; Streptophyta; Magnoliopsida; Malvales; Malvaceae
Exons: 2
Source: RefSeq, a predicted model, not a curated record